AGAGGUAUCACCUAGGGAUCUUGUUAAAAUGGGGAUUUUAAUUCAUUAGAUCAGAGGAGGGGCCUGAGAUUCUGCAUGUCUAACAAGCUCUCAGGGGCUGCUAUU
This 105-nucleotide microRNA precursor is filed under the name Marmota monax (woodchuck). The record is from RNAcentral. Lineage: Eukaryota; Metazoa; Chordata; Mammalia; Rodentia; Sciuridae.